Molecule: unclassified non-coding RNA, 252 nt
Filed under: Hevea brasiliensis (rubber tree)
Lineage: Eukaryota; Viridiplantae; Streptophyta; Magnoliopsida; Malpighiales; Euphorbiaceae
Source: RNAcentral
GUUAGAUGCCGCGCAUGCAUUGGCAAAUCAACGAUCAAUUUCUCGUUCCACUUUGGAAAACCUCCACCUUCUUUAUCCAGUUUAGUUGUUUGGAGGUUGCAUGAAUAAGAUUCUGUUUUGAUAUUUACGAAGGCGUUCUUCUUCACCGGUCGAUUUCUGUUAUCUAGAAGAUUCUCGCCCGACAUUACCGUUAUUUCUAACAAACGCGAAGAAGAUGAUAAUGGCUUCAUUGUAAUUAUUAUAGUAUCCCGG